This 489-nucleotide ribosomal RNA is filed under the name uncultured bacterium. RNAcentral's name for it is "bacterial SSU rRNA". It matches the Rfam family "Bacterial small subunit ribosomal RNA", at positions 103 to 601 of the family's 1533-position model. The record is from RNAcentral.
CGGGUGAGCAUCACGUGGGUAACCUGCCUCGGAGUGGGGAAUAACACCGGGAAACCGGUGCUAAUACCGCAUACGAUCACGGAGUCUUCGGAUCCCGUGAUGAAAGGCAAUGUCGCUCUGAGAGGGGCCCGCGCCCGAUUAGCUAGUUGGUGAGGUAACGGCUCACCAAGGCAACGAUCGGUAGCCGGUCUGAGAGGACGGUCGGCCACACUGGAACUGAGACACGGUCCAGACUCCUACGGGAGGCAGCAGUGGGGAAUUUUUGACAAUGGGGGAAACCCUGAUCAAGCAACGCCGCGUGGAUGAUGAAGUAUUUCGGUACGUAAAAUCCUUUCGACAGGGAAGAAGCCUUCGGGUCGACGGUACCUGUAGAAGAAGCCCCGGCUAACUCCGUGCCAGCAGCCGCGGUAAAUACGGGGGGGCAAGCGUUGUUCGGAUUUACUGGGCGUAAAGGGCGCGUAGGCGGCUCGUUAAGUCGGAUGUGAAAAC